UUCUGAAAGCAGAAUAUGUUGAACAGUAAACCAUGUGAAUAUGGAAAGAGAAUUUAUUGGUUAUGUGUCUGGUUGCCCCUGAAGCAUCAACAGAGGCAACUAACAUUCAGUGGCCCAUAUCAUAAGAGGUCCCAAGAGAAGAGGACCCCGCAGUCCAACAUGCUAGAUAGGAUUCAUCAUUAUAACCCAAUCAGCAAGAGUCUAGGGAAGCAAUGAUUUAAAGUCCCACUCCAAAAGAUGAGGUUCUCCUGUUUGUUGAGGUUCUGUUUAGGGGAAACUCAAACACAUGUAGUUGGUUCCAUCUUGAGGCUAAAAGACCAAGUAAUAACUUUCCUAGAUCUGAAGGAUUAUCCUAUUUGUCCCAGUAGCCUAUAUUUGUAUUUGAAAGGAAUCACUUUCUCUGGGAAUUUAGAGCUUUGGUUGGAAUAUUUGUCUUGGGAGAUCCUGGAGCAUGAGGCCUAAAAUAUCAAGGAGAUAGAAAGUUAUUUGUGUCAAUGCUACGAGUGAAGUAACCUAUCACUCCUGAGGACUGGGAGAGUCUAUGGGUGGAAAUCAGGCAGUCUGAGAGUCUCUGGAUUGCUUUUGCAGUUCUUCUCAGUGUCACAUAGUUGGGCACUGAAUUACUCUGUAUCUACUUUUCUAUGUCUGAAUUUUUUUGAAUCUUUAAUUAGACCAAUGGAGUCAUUUCCUAGAGCUACCAUUACAAAGUACCACAAACCAGGUGCCUUAACCACAGAUGUUUAACGUCUUACAGUUCAGUUCUGGAAGCUGGAGGUUCAAAAUCAAAGUGUCAGAUCACGCAUGAUUCAUCUUUCAUCAGAGACAAACUAUUCAGGGAUUGGAAUCUUUACCUUAUUGGGUCAAUUAUGAGACACCCCCAAAUGUGAGACCACAUUUUCAUAUGAUGCUUUUGAGGAAGAAUUCUGCCUUGCCUCUUUUAGCUUCUGGUGCUUGCUGGCAAUGCCUGGUGUUCCUCAGCUUGCAGAUGCAUCACUUCUAACUCUCCCUCUGUAUUCUGUGUGUCACUAUGACAAAUACCUGAGAUAAUCAACUCGUAAAGAGGAAGAGUUUAUUUUGGUUCACAGUUUUAGAAGUUUCAGCCAUGCUCAAUUGGCCCUAUUGCUUUGAGUCUGUGGCUGCACAUCAUGAUGGGAGCAUGUGGCAGAAAAAAAAACAGCUGACCUCAUUUAUAAUUGAGCAGAAAAAGAGAGAGGAGGAGGAGCUGGGUGCCCUCUGAGUGCACAUCCCCAACUAGAAGUUUUACUGACUCUCAACAAAUGCCACUCUGGGGAACAAGUCUUUGAUGUAUGAGCCUUUGGAGGAACAUUUAAGAUCUGACAUUGUAUUGACACUCCACAAAGAUUAUAUUCAUUAUGUAACACAAACAAAUACUAAUAAAAAUUAAUUAUUUAACUAAUUUAAAAAGAAACAUUCUUAAAAAAAGAAAAAUUAAGGGCUGCAAUUUAAAAAGAAAUCAUUUUUAUGUUAAGGCUGAGAAAUGUCUUUAAUUGUAGUGGAUAAUAUUUUGAUAUUAGUUGAUAUACAUACAGCCUUAUAAUUUUUUAAUUAAUCCUAUGGCCCUUCCUCCAUUCUUGAGAUUUGGAUUGUCCUAGAGAAGGUUGUAAUAGAAAAAUCAGAGAACAAAAGAAUGAAAUUUUAUCAUUUGAAUUUCGAAAGCUUAGGUUCAGGAAGAAGGCAAAACGCCUUACAAUAAUAUUUGAUUAAUCCAAGAUAGUUUUCCUUCCUUUUCACUUGAGAUUUAGAUAAUAAGUCUCUAGAAGAAGAGGAAGGAGGAGGAAGAAGAGAUCAUCUGAGAGGAAUUAGGAUAUGAUAGGGUCCCCUGGCUCACCCCAGGGCCAAUUCCCGGAGAGUGUGAAGAAAGUAAGACCUUCCCUCAGAUACUUACAGGUGUUUAGGAUAAGAGGAAAGCUGUACCUUGCUUCCAGGAAGGUCCUAGAUAUUGUAGAAUCUUCCUGUCUGAGGGGAUAGAAGGACAGCUGCUUUCUGAGUCUCUGAGAGGGCACAGAAGGGCCUAGAGGUCUGAGGACCACAAGGUGCUGAGAAUGGCUCUGACUGCAGACCAGCUGAAUGAUGUUCCUCCAGUAUAUGCAGGUACAGACAGAUGAGAACUAAAGGCCAGAGUCCCCUUUCCCUCCUACUAGCCUGUACUUCAAGCUCAAGUCCACCCGAAGUAUAGCCUCUGAAUUGACACACGAGGGUUUUAUUUUUACCUGCAACAAGGCUCAUAACAUAAAUUAUGUUUGGUUACUAGAAAAUAAAGUUGAUUUCUUUCAACUCUUAAUUUGUGGUAUAAGGUUUAUUUCAGCUACAUAAAGAAAAUGAAUAUUUUAUGCUUGCAAGUUGCAUCUUCAUUUGUAGGUGGGCAGUGGGAAGGGAAACUGUCCUUGGGGCAGCCAGGUGUGACCCCGGCAUUUUCCCAGACUACAGAAAUUAAUGCUGAGAUAUUGCUGAUUGGGCCUCCAGGAAGGAGGGAAGGGGAAGAGAAAGGGAUGGGUGGGCAUGGGGGAGUCCAUGACUAAACCACUUAAAUUAUGUUCUAAAUAUCUGAUUUAUUGUUCUGAAAGGUACUCCAGCCUUUUAGAGGGGAAGUCUGAGAAGCUCUGAAACUUGAGGUGCCUACAAAGACAACUCAGCUGUUGUUGCCAAGGAACUAACAUGUCUGAGUUCUGGUAUCAGUAUCACUGGCUCCUGCUCAAAUAGCACAAACGAAAGAUGUAAAGUCAUUAGAGAAAAAGAACAGUUUGGUUUGGUGGGUCAUGAGUUACAAUUUGAUAUUGGCCUUACAUUUAAGGGUCUCAUAAGUGGUCCAAUCCCCAAAAAGUCUUUCUCUUUGAUGGAAGAGAAGGAGAGAAAAGUAGGAAGGCAGAGAGGAAAAGGGAACAGAAGCCAACAGGCAUAAAUGACCUAACUGAAAGACAUUUUGGAGGGAGAAGUCACUCAGAAUAAGUCUUUGGAAUUAGACUGAGGUUUGAGCAUUAGUUUUUCCACUAAGUAAAUGACCCUGGAGAAAUACAUUUGAACAGCUCUAUGCUUUCAGUUUCAAAUCUGUAAAAUGGAUGUGUUAUGUAAAGACUUCCUGAAUUUUGCUCUUUUGACUCUUAGUGGGUUUUUUUUCUAAAUAACUCAGAAUUUGUAUUUUACUUCAAUAAUCCAAUGUGAUAGGCAACCCUCUAAACAGUUCGCAUGACCCUCGUUUUCUGGCAUUCACACUCUUGAUUAGUCACUUCAUCUUGAGUGUACUUUGGACCUUAUUUCUAAUAAAUAGACUAUGCCAGAAAUAAUGGGCUGACAUCUCUUAUACUGGGUUAUAAAAUGACUAUGGCUUCUGUGUUUGGUUCAUUCUUUCUUCCCAGAUCACUUGCACUGAGGUAAGCAUUCUGCCAUAUUCUGAGCAACUUUAAGGGAAUACCUACGUUGUGUGGUGAGGAACCGAGGGCCUCAGACCAACAAUGCAGAGAAACUGAAGCCUGCUAACAACCAGGUGCUGCUGAUCUAGAAGUCUUAAUUCCAAAAAGAAAAAUGCUUCCUCCAGGCACAUAACAAUGGGUCCACUGAAUUAAAGGCUGAGACUGUCACCUGACCAUUUUGGGCUCCUAAUGCUAUUGAGUCAACAGUUAGAUUGGACCACAAGAAUGAGUCUCAUGGAUGAUUUGGAUGGUGUAAAUGAAGCAACAGCCAUUGGGUAGCUCACAUACUUGGUUUGCUGCCUCUUCUUGCUGAUGUGAACUGUGGCUAGGACUAGAACUACUCUACCUUCUCCUCAAUCUUCCUGAGCCUCUGUGACUUCUACACCAGGAAACGAGAGUGGAGAGAGAGAGAGAGAGAACUGACACAGGUUUUAGGCUGUCCUCAUUGACUCACUGCCUCCAGUUUGUGCCUGGGAGUUCUAGUUUGUUCUUGCUCUUCCUGUUUUACAUCCUGACCACUUGCCUCAAGAACUUCAAGGUCCAGCAUUAGAUGCAAUCACAAUAGCUUUAUGGAGACUGUUCAGUAAACAACCACAACUGCAUAAGAUUCUCCAAAUAUAGUGUUAGUCAACAUUCCUGUAUGGACUUUAGAAGGUGCCAACUUUGAAUCAGACGGUCUGUAUUCAAAUCCUGGCUCCAUCAGUUCCCAGCAUAUGACACUUAGAGGCAGACAGACGACUGGGUCCUGAGCCUGAAGCAUUCUUCAAUGUGACCUUGACUCUUGCAUUUUAUACUGCUAAAUUCAACCAAGCAAUCUUCCGGGUUCUGUACGGUGGUGGAAGCAGCAGCCCAUUGAGCCAGAGACCAACACUUCUGGGCAUAUGGAACCCAAGAGCGGAAAGCUUGCUGCGUUUCUCGGAAACUUCAGCUAAGGAAGGGCAGCCUCUGGAAAGUGAAGAAAUGGCACACUCACGGGAUGAGGCGGGAAAUGCCAUAGAGCCGGGGAGUCCAGCACCUGCCUAGGCCACACUGUGUACCGGAAGCAGUUUGCGUCCCCGAAUAAACUUAGAUACAAGUCCAGUAAAAACCAGAGGUUAGCUGACUUCUGAAGUACAUGUACCCAAGUUUCCCUAGUCCUAGAGCUAUGCCCUUAGCCUCUUGGGCCUUCUCACGUCUCUCAUCUCAGUUUCUUUCUUUCUCUCUUUCUCUCUUCGUACCAGGGAUCGAAAACCGGUCCUUGCGCUUGGGUAGCAGGUGGCGAAACCACUGAGCUAAAUCCCUGGGCCUCUCGCCUCACUUUCUGUUCCUGUCUUUCUCCAAGAGAAGUCCUUCUGGUGGUUUUGUCUCAGUCCUUCCGGUUCUGCUGAGUCGGCAGGCACGCGUCCCGCUGAGGGUUUCUCUGCACAUGCGCCCUAGUACAGCUACCCCUUGAGGAAGGCCUUAGGUAUUUUCCUCAAGGGCUGCCACGGUUGGUAGUGUUUACUCCACUGAUCACAUUCACUCUGUGGGUGUUUAUUUACUGUUUACCUAGUCAUGGUAAAUCAAUCAAUCACAUAUUUCUCCAUUUUUAUUUCUCAAAAGAUGACCCCGUUCCAUUUCCUCAUCAUCACCCAACAAGGGAGGUACUAUUGUCUUUGUUUAAUGGAUGAAGACACUAAACCUGCAAGGGUAAGAGUCUUGCCACAAGUGGGUCACAAAUCUAAGAAGUGGAUCACAUAUCUAAGAAGUGGAUCACAUAUAGAUUGUAAAGGCAGAGACACAGAGGGAGAGCACUAUGUGAUGUUGAAAGCAGAGAUUGGAGUUAUGCAGUUUUGAGACAAAGUGAAAGGGGAGUAAAAAGCAACCAGAGAAAAGAAGCAGAUGGGGAAACCGCUUGUGAGAAUGCCUUGUUCUGCAAAACCUUAUCACAGGGGCAGCAAGGGGAGCUGCCUUCUAUGUGACCUUACCUGAGUAGUUCCCAAAUCCUUGUUCUUGGACAUGGGAGGGCUGGAUGCCCAAAAAUCUCCUGAGGAACAUGAAUUACAAAACCCAAGAAAAACAGAACCCCUGGCUUCACUCUGAUUUGGAGGGAUAAAGUGGGGUGUAGCAGGGUUAGCAAGUCUUAGUCCAAUGGACCAGUGUCUUAGUCUAUUUUGGGCUG
Heterocephalus glaber (naked mole-rat) is the source of this 5568-nucleotide non-coding RNA. The record is from RefSeq and is a predicted model, not a curated record. NCBI's taxonomy places the organism in Eukaryota, Metazoa, Chordata, Mammalia, Rodentia, Bathyergidae.